RNAcentral lists this ribosomal RNA (433 nucleotides) under uncultured bacterium. RNAcentral describes it as "partial 16S ribosomal RNA". It matches the Rfam family "Bacterial small subunit ribosomal RNA", at positions 29 to 507 of the family's 1533-position model. The record is from RNAcentral.
AACGAACGCUGGCGGCAUGCCUAACACAUGCAAGUCGAACGAGACCUUCGGGUCUAGUGGCGCACGGGUGCGUAACGCGUGGGAACCUGCCCUUAGGUUCGGAAUAACUCCCCGAAAGGGGUGCUAAUACCGGAUAAUGUCUUCGGACCAAAGAUUUAUCGCCUUUGGAUGGGCCCGCGUUGGAUUAGCCAGUUGGUAGGGUAAAAGCCUACCAAGGCGACGAUCCAUAGCUGGUCUGGGAGGCGGAUCAGCCACACUGGGACUGCGACACGGCCCAGACUCCUACGGAGGGGAGCAGUGGAGUAUAUAAGACGCGGGGCGAUGGCCUGAUCCAGCAAUGCCGCGUGAGUGGUGAAGGCCUUAGGAUUGUAAAGCUCUUUUAGCCGGGAUGAUAAUGACGGUACCGGGAGAAUAAGCACCGGCUAACUCCGUG